This 468-nucleotide ribosomal RNA is filed under the name uncultured bacterium. RNAcentral's name for it is "partial 16S ribosomal RNA". It matches the Rfam family "Bacterial small subunit ribosomal RNA", at positions 28 to 507 of the family's 1533-position model. The record is from RNAcentral.
GACGAACGCUGGCGGCGUGCUUAACACAUGCAAGUCGAACGGAAAGGCCCUGCUUUUGUGGGGUGCUCGAGUGGGGAACGGGUGAGUAACACGUGAGUAACCUGCCCUUGACUUUGGGAUAACUUCAGGAAACUGGGGCUAAUACCAGAUAGGAGCUGCUGCUGCAUGGUGGGCGGUGGAAAGUUUCGGCGGGUGGGGAUGGACUCGCGGCUUAUGAGCUUGUUGGUUGGGUAGUGGCUUACCAAGGCUUGGGCGGGUAGCCGGCCGGAGAGGGUGGCCGGCCACAUUGGGCCUGAGAUACGGCCCAGACUGCUACGGGAGGCAGCAGUGGGGAAUAUUACACAAUGGGCGGAAGCCUGAUACAGCAACGCCGCGUGCGUGAUGACGGCCUUCGGGUUGUGAACCGCUUUCGCCUGUGACGAAGCGUGAGUGACGGUAAUGAAUAAAGAAGCACCGGCUAACUACGUG